This is a long non-coding RNA of Oncorhynchus tshawytscha (Chinook salmon), 344 nucleotides long. The record is from Ensembl. Lineage: Eukaryota; Metazoa; Chordata; Actinopteri; Salmoniformes; Salmonidae.
GUAAUGUUAACUAUCUGAUAUUAUUCAUUAGAACAAAACGUAUAAGAUCUCCUAAGCCUGUGUUAACUUCAGACCUGAUUUUUGGCGUUUAUCCUGAAACCCUAUUUCUUUCCCCAUUCAUUUUCCCCAUGUUAAUGUCUGAACAAACCAGACGUAACUCAUUUCCGUUUUUUAGGACUACAAACUGAGACAACCAGGAAGUAAGAAGAGUGGUGAAUUUGCCUGUGUGUAGAGCUCCUUGCAUACUGGUUGUGGAAGUGGGUGAGACAACGCACCACAAACACUGUCUGGCAACAUGUCUCAACCUAAAGGCAAGUACCAUGACGCUCUUCAUAAUAAACUAG